Molecule: non-coding RNA, 46 nt
Filed under: Bordetella avium
Lineage: Bacteria; Pseudomonadati; Pseudomonadota; Betaproteobacteria; Burkholderiales; Alcaligenaceae
Also listed under: 1 other name
Description: Guanidine-II sequence
Rfam family: Guanidine-II riboswitch aptamer (mini-ykkC)
About the family: Simpler in structure and has fewer highly conserved nucleotide positions than the ykkC-yxkD leader. Despite this each of its two stem-loop structures directly bind free guanidine.
Source: RNAcentral
GGAUCAGGACGACCUGACCGGCGUUUCUUCUCCAGGGACGACCCUA